RNAcentral lists this unclassified non-coding RNA (502 nucleotides) under uncultured fungus. Its description in RNAcentral is "sequence contains 18S rRNA gene, ITS1, 5.8S rRNA gene, ITS2, 28S rRNA gene". The record is from RNAcentral. Lineage: Eukaryota; Fungi.
UAACGCCAAAGCGAUUGACGCAUACCUUGAAGCCUGGUUGCAGCGAAUGCGGGCGGAUCAAGCGGGCCCUUACGCUCGUGGGCUAUACUCUACAAAACAAUCUAUGACCGCCACGGAUACGCGUUCAGCUUCAUCGCAAGUCUGCUCUGCGGAGCAUCUUUCAAAAUGAUGGGGAACUUGUUGCCUCUCUAUGUCCUGAGCCGGGCGAAUGAGCAGGACUUUCCCGAUCAUCCGACCGCUCUGUUGGCGAAGCUUGGCGGCUUCGAAUGUACCCACGCGAACGCCUGGGUUAAGGCCGCCGCAGCAGUCUCGUAUCUAAACCUGGACAAGGUGUCUCCUCUGGACUGUGCGAUCAACCUACUCGCGCAGUUGUGAUGAAAAGGAAAUCCAGUCAUGAAAGUCAUUGUUAAUGGCAGCACCGAAUUCGAUAAACCCCUCUCCACAUCGGACGAGCUAAUACAACACAUGUAUUUGGAAGGGCCCGCCGAGCUCACGAGUCGCA